RNAcentral lists this transfer RNA (87 nucleotides) under compost metagenome. RNAcentral's name for it is "tRNA-Ser". It matches the Rfam family "tRNA". From Rfam's summary of the family: Transfer RNA (tRNA) molecules are approximately 80 nucleotides in length. Their secondary structure includes four short double-helical elements and three loops (D, anti-codon, and T loops). The record is from RNAcentral.
UGGUCAGAUGGUCGAGUGGUCUAAGGCACUUGCUUGGAAAGCAAGAGGGUGUAAAAGCUCCGCAGGUUCGAAUCCUGCUCUGACCGU